GACCAAGAAGUCUAACAUGUGUGCGAGUCAUUGGGUAUAUUGUUGAAACCUAAGGGCGCAAUUAAAAUAACUAUUUUAUGGGAUUACAAGUGAAUUAAAUUUCAUUUCUUCAUCCCGGGGCGUUCUAUACGAACAUGGUUCAAGCAAUUGAAUCCUCUGUUCAAGAGCGUACCUUGAGCAUACAUGCUGUGACCCGAAAGAUGGUGAACUAUACCUGAUCAGAUCGAAGCCAGGAGAAAUUCUGGUGGAGGAUCGAAACAGUUCUGACGUGCAAAUCGAUUGUCAGAAUUGGGUAUAGGGGCGAAAGACCAAUCGAACCAUCUAGUAGCUGGUUCCCUCCGAAGUUUCCCUCAGGAUAGCUGGCGCAAAGAAUUAUAUUGUAUAUAAUCUUAUCUGGUAAAGCGAAUGAUUAGAGGCCUUGGGGCCGAAACGACCUCAACCUAUUCUCAAACUUUAAAUGGGUAAGAACCUCAUCUUUCUUGAUCUGAAGAUAUUGGGGUUUAGAUAUAUUGUGCCCAGUGGGCCACUUUUGGUAAGCAGAACUGGCGCUGUGGGAUGAACCAAACAUGAUGUUACGGCGCCUAAAUUAAUGACUCAUAUUGAUACCAUGAAAGGCGUUGGUUGCUUAAAACAGCAGGACGGUGGACAUGGAAGUCGUAAUCCGCUAAGGAGUGUGUAACAACUCACCUGCCGAAGCAACUAGCCCUUAAAAUGGAUGGCGCUCAAGUCAUAUGCCUAUACAUCAUCGCUAGAAUAGAAAUUGUUGGCCGUUCCGGUCAUCAAUGUGAAAUUCUAGUGAGUAGGAGGGUACAAUGGUGUGCGCAGAAGUGUUUGGCGUGAGCCUGCAUGAAGCCGCCAUUGGCACAGAUCUUGGUGGUAGUAGCAAAUAAUCGAAUGAGAUCUUGGAGGACUGAAGUGGAGAAGGGUUUCGUGUGAACAGUGGUUGAUCACGAGUUAGUCGGUCCUAAGCUUUAUGCGAAAGCUGUUUAAUUUAUGUUACACACAAUUUGUUUUGUUGUACAUAAUUCAAUAAAAGCGAAAGGGAAUACGGUUCCAAUUCCGUAACCUGUUGAGUAUACGUUUGUUUAUUAAAAAUGGGUCUUAUUACACUCAUCCUGGCAACAGGAACGACCAUAGAGAAGCCUUCGAGAGAUACUGGAAGAGUUUUCUUUUCUGCUAAACAAGCGUACCACCAUGGAAGUCUUUUAUAGAGAGAUAUGGUGGAUGGCUUGGAAGAGCAUGACAUUUACUGUUGUGUCAGUAUUUUCUCCUUGGACCUUGAAAAUCUAUGGUGGGGCCACGCAAACUUCUCAACAGACCGUACCGAUAUCCGCAG
This 1336-nucleotide ribosomal RNA is filed under the name Bradysia longimentula. RNAcentral's name for it is "eukaryotic LSU rRNA". It matches the Rfam family "Eukaryotic large subunit ribosomal RNA", at positions 664 to 1859 of the family's 3401-position model. Lineage: Eukaryota; Metazoa; Arthropoda; Insecta; Diptera; Sciaridae. The record is from RNAcentral.